GAUGAAGAACGUAGCGAAAUGCGAUAGGUAAUGUGAAUUGCAGAAUUCAGUGAAUCAUCGAAUCUUUGAACGCAUAUUGCGCUCUCUGGUAUUCCGGAGAGCAUGCUUGUUUGAGUAUCAGUAAACACCUCAACUUCCAUAUCUUUUUUGAAAUGGGAGUUGGACUUGAGUGAUCCCAACGCUUUUCCUCACCGAAAAGUGGCGGGUUACUUGAAAUGCAGGUGCAGCUGGACUUUUCUCUGAGCUAUAAGCAUAUCUAUUUAGUCUGCCUAAAAAACAGAUUAUUACCUUUGCUGCAGCUAACAUAAAGGAGAUUAGUUCUUGUGCUGACUGAUGCAGGAUUCACAAAGACAGCUUCGGCCGACUUUGUAAACUCGAUCUCAAAUCAAGUAAGACUACCCGCUGAACUUAAGCAUAUCAAUAAGCGGAGGA
Molecule: unclassified non-coding RNA, 432 nt
Filed under: soil metagenome
Description: partial contains 5.8S ribosomal RNA, internal transcribed spacer 2, and large subunit ribosomal RNA
Rfam family: 5.8S ribosomal RNA (bases 1-120)
Source: RNAcentral